AUGGCCCUGCACCACAGCAACCCGUGGGCCCGAGCCCCUCAACGAGAGUGGAAGCUACUGGGUCAAGGACAAGUGGCUGCCCCCCUGCUCACUCAGUCAGGCCCUCACCUACUUCCUGGACAUCAUCAUCUGCCCAAGCCAGCUGCUGCUCCGAAAGCAGGCCUAGCUGACCAUGAAAGAGGACUAGAGACGGAGGUUGGAGACCUUGUGCCAGGCGAAGGACAGGAACUAUUUCCUCUCCAGUUUGGUCCUCUCAGCACCCUGGACAGCGCCCGGAACUUCCAGGCCUGCGUGGAGGCAAGGAGUGAAUAAAUGAAUGAAUAUCAGAUUGUGAC
This 335-nucleotide long non-coding RNA is filed under the name Equus caballus (horse). Its description in RNAcentral is "lncRNA (ENSECAG00000051205.1)". Lineage: Eukaryota; Metazoa; Chordata; Mammalia; Perissodactyla; Equidae. The record is from RNAcentral.